This 582-nucleotide ribosomal RNA is filed under the name uncultured Eustigmatophyceae. Its description in RNAcentral is "SSU rRNA". It matches the Rfam family "Eukaryotic small subunit ribosomal RNA", at positions 575 to 1159 of the family's 1831-position model. Lineage: Eukaryota; Eustigmatophyceae. The record is from RNAcentral.
CGCGGUAAUUCCAGCUCCAAUAGCGUAUACUAAAGUGUUGCAGUUAAAAAGCUCGUAGUUGGAUUUCUGGCGGGGACGGCUGGUCGGUCUCGAAAGGGGCUGUACUGUUGUUGGUUCCCGUCAUCCUUGGGGAGAGCGGCUCUUACAUUAAGUUGUCGGCGUCGGGAUCCCUAUCUUUUACUGUGAAAAAAUUAGAGUGUUCAAAGCAGGCUUAGGCCCUGAACACAUUAGCAUGGAAUAAUAAGAUACGACCUUGGUGGUCUAUUUUGUUGGUUUGCACGCCAAGGUAAUGAUUAAUAGGGAUAGUUGGGGGUAUUCGUAUUCAAUUGUCAGAGGUGAAAUUCUUGGAUUUAUGGAAGACGAACUACUGCGAAAGCAUUUACCAAGGAUGUUUUCAUUGAUCAAGAACGAAAGUUAGGGGAUCGAAGAUGAUUAGAUACCAUCGUAGUCUUAACCAUAAACUAUGCCGACUAGGGAUCGGUGGGUGCAUUUUUAGGCCUCAUCGGCACCUUAUGAGAAAUCAAAGUCUUUGGGUUCCGGGGGGAGUAUGGUCGCAAGGCUGAAACUUAAAGAAAUUGACGG